RNAcentral lists this unclassified non-coding RNA (247 nucleotides) under Hevea brasiliensis (rubber tree). Lineage: Eukaryota; Viridiplantae; Streptophyta; Magnoliopsida; Malpighiales; Euphorbiaceae. The record is from RNAcentral.
GGGAAAUGCACAAAGAGACUACUGAAUCACUGCAUGUAGAGUUGUCAAUCUGGCCCCUGUAAAGGAUAUCGUAACUGCAUUCCCAUCUUCUGUUGUUUACAAAUGCCAAAAGCUUUUUAUUAGAUAAGGAAAUGGCUAUCAACUUGAUAUGCUAAUGUUAACCUUCUAUUUGAAACCAUUGUUAAGCUGGCUGCAAACGAGCAUGUCUACAUUAUAAAAUGUGCAUGGAGAAAUCUAUGCUUUCCAC